CACAUCUGCAAAAGAUAAACUAGAUUAUUUUUAUUUAUUAGUUUAAUAUGAACCCUUAAUUAAAGAUUAUACGGUGAUGCACAAAAUGCAAAUUUACUUCUGCUAUUUUCUGCCUUGUAGUAUUUUAUCACAUAAUCCAAGUGUGGUUUUAAGUUUCUGAUUAGAAACUUCCAAAUAAACAAAAAGCAUUAAGGAGUUGUGAGCUUAUCGCAUGUUUAGACACAGCUUCAGGAAUUGUGCUCAUUCCUUCAAAUAGGAAUAUCUUGUACGUCUGAUUUCAUGAGGAAUUCAAAACUAAAGGUCAUGUAGAAACUGUCUUCAUACUUAAUUCAUUGAUAACAAAGCACAGUUUUGGCUCUUUAUCCUUCUAAUGAAAUGGUGUUGCACACACUGCAGAACUCUGGUAAUUUUAUUUUACUGUAAUUUCUAAAAAAAAAAAAAAAAAAAAGGCAUGCUAUAAUGCACUGAGGUGUUUUAAUAGAAAAUUGAGGGCCAGUCUUCUCUCUAUUUUCCAGAUAACUUCUCUCCUUCUGUCUGUGCUGGUUUUUUUUGUUUUUUUUUUCUUCAGAAUUGUAUUGCUUUGGUACUAUCUCACUUCUGCAAAAGGCAAUUUUGUUAAAUGUAUUCCCAGAUGCUCUGAUGAAGUUAUAACUGUUUGGCAAAGGCUUGAAGACGACGGUGCUGCACUGAAAAAUGAGCCUUGUCAACUGGAAACCAAUUUGCGAUCGUGAAACACAGAUGCUAUGGUCAACAUUGUAAUAUCUCUUUGCCACACACUUUCAGAUUUGGAACUUCCUGCCUUGGUGAAAGAGGCAAGGAUUAGCAUUAACAGUGGACUUCAGCCUCUGCCACCCAAAUCUACUGCUUGCUGUGCACAAGGAGGAACAGCACUGCUUUUACAAGGGAUUCUACGAGAAUCCCCUUCUCUGAGGAAUCUGGGUUGCGUUCAGAAAUCCAGCUCAUUAUCCAGAGGUGGUGCAACGCGACAUUCACCCGUCCUCUUUUUGCAGCUAAUGGAGCUGUCAGUGCUGCUGUCACUCACUUAUCACCUCAGCCAGAAAGGCGGUGCAAGCCCUAAAGGAAACAGAUCAUCCCAAGAGCAGAGUAUUGAAAUAAAAUUGACCCUUAUUCAAAUGUAUGCAUGAAAUGAACUUUUCCCUUUGACUGUUGUUUGUAACAGGCUUGCUUUUCAUUCUAAAGAGUUAAGGUGGGUUGAGAAUAUGUCAUUUUUCAGGAAAAUAUCUGUUACAGGCUGUUCUGUUGUCAGUGUUUUGUGAUAUUUUCAUGGCGUAUUUGGAAAAAAGAUUUUCACCUCUGUCUUUUUCAGUUGCCUUAAUCCCAGCACUCUCAUCUCAUUCAAGAGACAGUAAUGACUGACUUCACUUGUUGCACUACAUGUUGGUGCCAAGAACGUUUGUGAAUGUUCUCACUGAUUUUAAAUAUAAAUCUCAGUACUGGGAGACACCUUCCCAUCAAAAGCAAUUGAGUCACCAAAGCAGGGAAGGAGAGGUUAAGCAGGUAAAGUGGCACCAGUCAAGAAGGUGCUGGUUGGCAAGUAAAGUGCAGGGGAUGACAGCUGGGCUGACAAAAUGACAUUUGUAUCUCUAGAGAAGUGAGACUUUCUUAAUUUAACUGCGGAAGUGUCAAGAUCAUCUUCUGAGUGAGUUUGAAGCAAGUAAGUUUCAAAUGGAAAGAAAGAAAGUUUCAAGAGGAAAAAUUAAAUAUGCUCAGUGCCCCUGAAAAUGGAAUUCAUUAUAGAAGUAGGUGAGCUCUGUGGAGGAAACGUUUUUCUCUAACAAGAGCAGCCUACAACACGUGACACGUGAAGAAACAGAAUCUCUGACAUGUCAGGAGAGCAUCUGAGUGGGAUGUGGAACCAAAAAG
Molecule: long non-coding RNA, 1884 nt
Organism: Phasianus colchicus (ring-necked pheasant)
Lineage: Eukaryota; Metazoa; Chordata; Aves; Galliformes; Phasianidae
Source: Ensembl